GGGUUGUGAGGUUAAGCGACUAAGCGUACACGGUGGAUGCCCUGGCAGUCAGAGGCGAUGAAGGACGUGCUAAUCUGCGAUAAGCGUCGGUGAGGUGAUAUGAACCGUUAUAACCGGCGAUUUCCGAAUGGGGAAACCCAGUGUGUUUCGACACACUAUCAUUAACUGAAUCCAUAGGUUAAUGAGGCGAACCGGGGGAACUGAAACAUCUAAGUACCCCGAGGAAAAGAAAUCAACCGAGAUUCCCCCAGUAGCGGCGAGCGAACGGGGAGGAGCCCAGAGCCUGAAUCAGUGUGUGUGUUAGUGGAAGCGUCUGGAAAGGCGCGCGAUACAGGGUGACAGCCCCGUACACAAA
RNAcentral lists this ribosomal RNA (355 nucleotides) under Escherichia coli. RNAcentral's name for it is "partial 23S ribosomal RNA". It matches the Rfam family "Bacterial large subunit ribosomal RNA", at positions 1 to 383 of the family's 2925-position model. The record is from RNAcentral. Lineage: Bacteria; Pseudomonadati; Pseudomonadota; Gammaproteobacteria; Enterobacterales; Enterobacteriaceae.